This 21-nucleotide non-coding RNA is filed under the name Arabidopsis thaliana (thale cress). Lineage: Eukaryota; Viridiplantae; Streptophyta; Magnoliopsida; Brassicales; Brassicaceae. The record is from RNAcentral.
CGGGUUUUUUUUGGGCAGCCU